This 445-nucleotide ribosomal RNA is filed under the name uncultured Propionibacteriaceae bacterium. Its description in RNAcentral is "partial 16S ribosomal RNA". Lineage: Bacteria; Bacillati; Actinomycetota; Actinomycetes; Propionibacteriales; Propionibacteriaceae. The record is from RNAcentral.
GACUACUGGGGUAUCUAAGCCUGUUUGCUCCCCACGCUUUCGCUUCUCAGCGUCAGAUAAGGUCCAGAGAACCGCCUUCGCCACUGGUGUUCCUCCUGAUAUCUGCGCAUUCCACCGCUCCACCAGGAAUUCCGUUCUCCCCUACCUUCCUCAAGUCUGCCCGUAUCGAGAGCCGGCUCAGGGUUAAGCCCUGAGUUUUCACUCCCGACGCAACAAACCGCCUACAAGCUCUUUACGCCCAAUAAUUCCGGACAACGCUCGCACCCUACGUAUCACCGCGGCUGCUGGCACGUAGUUAGCCGGUGCUUCUUCUCCCACUACCGUCAGAAACCCUUCGUCAUGGGUGAAAGCGGUUUACAACCCGAAGGCCGUCAUCCCGCACGCGGCGUUGCUGCGUCAGGCUUUCGCCCAUUGCGCAAUAUUCCCCACUGCUGCCCCCCGUAGG